RNAcentral lists this ribosomal RNA (375 nucleotides) under uncultured bacterium. RNAcentral describes it as "bacterial SSU rRNA". It matches the Rfam family "Bacterial small subunit ribosomal RNA", at positions 32 to 417 of the family's 1533-position model. The record is from RNAcentral.
AAUCAACGCUGGCGGCAGGCCUAACACAUGCAAGUCGAACGCCGUAGCAAUACGGAGUGGCAGACGGGUGAGUAACGCGUGGGAACAUACCCCUCGGUUCGGAAUAACUCAGGGAAACUUGAGCUAAUACCGGAUACGUCCGAGGUUUUGAUCGACCUUGGAGAAAGAUUUAUCGCCGAAGGAUUGGCCCGCGUCUGAUUAGCUUGUUGGUGAGGUAAUGGCUCACCAAGGCGACGAUCAGUAGCUGGUCUGAGAGGAUGAUCAGCCACAUUGGGACUGAGACACGGCCCAAACUCCUACGGGAGGCAGCAGUGGGGAAUAUUGGACAAUGGGCGAAAGCCUGAUCCAGCCAUGCCGCGUGAGUGAUGAAGGCCU